This 975-nucleotide ribosomal RNA is filed under the name Triticum aestivum (bread wheat). RNAcentral's name for it is "partial small subunit ribosomal RNA". The record is from RNAcentral. Lineage: Eukaryota; Viridiplantae; Streptophyta; Magnoliopsida; Poales; Poaceae.
AUGCCGGCGCCGCUCGCCGCCUCCUGGCGCCGGCAUGCCUCCGCCGCGGCGUCCUCCUCCACUCCACGGACCCUCCUCUUGCUCGUCCCGGUUCUCAUCCUCCUCGUCUUCGUCCUCUCCAGAGCCCCAGAUCUCACCUUCUCCCCCGCCACUGCCGCCUCGCCCCGCCUCCCGGCCCGGCUCCGCCCCUUCGACUGCUACGCCUCGCCGCAGGCCUCCCCGGUCUUGGCCAGCCUCGUGGAGGGCGUGCCCCGCCCCUUCCUCUACUCCCUCGCCGACCUGGGGUCCCUCCCCGACCGCCCGCACCGGAACAUCGCCCGCCUCCUCAAGGGCAAGCGCUUCCGCAAGCCCGACAUCUCCCAGACCAUCCAGGAACUGCUCGCGGGGGAGGUAGGGAGGGGCUCCGGCGGCGGGGUGGUGGUGGACGUCGGGGCCAAUGUUGGGAUGGCGGCCUUCGCGGCGGCCGUGAUGGGGUUCCGGGUGGUGGCAUUCGAGCCGGUCUUCGAGAACCUGCAGCGGAUCUGCGAUGGAGUGUACCUGAACCGGGUGCAGGACCAGGUGGUGGUGUAUCAUGCUGCAGCAUCUGACCGAGCUGGGAACAUCACAAUGCAUAAGGUGAUUGGACGACUCGACAACAGUGCUAUAUCUGCAACUGGUGCGAAGUUAGCAUUCAAAUCUAAUGAAGAAGUUGCUCUUGAGGUUGCUACAAUCCCAUUGGAUGAAGUCAUUCCAGAUGCAGAGCGAGUGGUUCUGAUCAAAAUUGAUGUUCAAGGUUGGGAAUCUCAUGUUCUGAGAGGUGCAUCAAAGUUGCUCUCAAGGAGGAGGGGUGAAGCUCCCUACCUUAUAUACGAAGAGGACGAGCGCCUGCUGCAGGCGAGCAACAGUAGUGCACAAGAGAUAAGGGCAUUUCUUGGCAGUGUUGGUUACAAUCAAUGUACACGGCAUGGGACGGAUGCUCACUGUACAAAAGAAUAG